RNAcentral lists this long non-coding RNA (303 nucleotides) under Androctonus crassicauda. The record is from RNAcentral. Lineage: Eukaryota; Metazoa; Arthropoda; Arachnida; Scorpiones; Buthidae.
CAGAAGUUUAUCUAAGAAUCAGAAGCUGAGCACCUCAGCAUGGAUCCUACCAAGAAACUAGCAACCAGUCUGGAGAAGCUAAUAAAGAAUAAAGAUUUUCCACCUAUCUUCCAGCAUAGAAAAGUAAAAAACGCAUUGUGCCCAAGACUAUUUGCGUACGCAAAAUCGCAUAAAAACCCGUUGGAAAUGACACCUAUCGUAGAAAAGAGGUAUUCCCCAACCUACAACUUUGAAGUGAAACUAGCAAAAUGGUGUAAUCAGAUCCUUAGACUCUACGAAUAUGUUGUGAAUGACGCCCGGGAA